This 81-nucleotide transfer RNA is filed under the name Nocardia otitidiscaviarum. Its description in RNAcentral is "tRNA-Asn(gtt)". The record is from RNAcentral. Lineage: Bacteria; Bacillati; Actinomycetota; Actinomycetes; Mycobacteriales; Nocardiaceae.
CCAGCUGCUGGAAGAUGGAUUCGGCGAUGUUGUUGUUACCGCGCCAGUCCGUGGCCCGUUCGGCGUGGGUGAACUGGUCCA